AGUGAACGCUGGCGGUAGGCCUAACACAUGCAAGUCGAACGGCAGCACAGUAAGAGCUUGCUCUUACGGGUGGCGAGUGGCGGACGGGUGAGGAAUACAUCGGAAUCUACUUUUUCGUGGGGGAUAACGUAGGGAAACUUACGCUAAUACCGCAUACGACCUACGGGUGAAAGCAGGGGAUCUUCGGACCUUGCGCGAUUGAAUGAGCCGAUGUCGGAUUAGCUAGUUGGCGGGGUAAAGGCCCACCAAGGCGACGAUCCGUAGCUGGUCUGAGAGGAUGAUCAGCCACACUGGAACUGAGACACAGUCCAGACUCCUACGGGAGGCAGCAGUGGGGAAUAUUGGACAAUGGGCGCAAGCCUGAUCCAGCCAUACCGCGUGGGUGAAGAAGGCCUUCGGGUUGUAAAGCCCUUUUGUUGGGAAAGAAAAGCAGCAGGUUAAUACCCCGCUGUCCUGACGGUACCCAAAGAAUAAGCACCGGCUAACUUCGUG
This 492-nucleotide ribosomal RNA is filed under the name uncultured bacterium. Its description in RNAcentral is "partial 16S ribosomal RNA". It matches the Rfam family "Bacterial small subunit ribosomal RNA", at positions 29 to 507 of the family's 1533-position model. The record is from RNAcentral.